GCCAGUGGCGGCGUGCUAUACAUGCAGUCGAACGAGUUCUGAUUAUUGAAAGGUGCUUGCAUCUUGAUUUAAUUUUGAACGAGUGGCGGACGGGUGAGUAACACGUGGGUAACCUGCCCUUAAGUGGGGGAUAACAUUUGGAAACAGAUGCUAAUACCGCAUAAAUCCAAGAACCGCAUGGUUCUUGGCUGAAAGAUGGCGUAAGCUAUCGCUUUUGGAUGGACCCGCGGCGUAUUAGCUAGUUGGUGAGGUAACGGCUCACCAAGGCAAUGAUACGUAGCCGAACUGAGAGGUUGAUCGGCCACAUUGGGACUGAGACACGGCCCAAACUCCUACGGGAGGCAGCAGUAGGGAAUCUUCCACAAUGGACGCAAGUCUGAUGGAGCAACGCCGCGUGAGUGAAGAAGGCUUUCGGGUCGUAAAACUCUGUUGUUGGAGAAGAAUGGUCGGCAGAGUAACUGUUGUCGGCGUGACGGUAUCCAACCAGAAAGCCACGGCUAACUACGUGCCAGCAGCCGCGGUAAUACGUAGGUGGCAAGCGUUAUCCGGAUUUAUUGGGCGUAAAGCGAGCGCAGGCGGUUUUUUAAGUCUGAUGUGAAAGCCCUCGGCUUAACCGAGGAAGUGCAUCGGAAACUGGGAAACUUGAGUGCAGAAGAGGACAGUGGAACUCCAUGUGUAGCGGUGAAAUGCGUAGAUAUAUGGAAGAACACCAGUGGCGAAGGCGGCUGUCUGGUCUGUAACUGACGCUGAGGCUCGAAAGCAUGGGUAGCGAACAGGAUUAGAUACCCUGGUAGUCCAUGCCGUAAACGAUGAAUGCUAGGUGUUGGAGGGUUUCCGCCCUUCAGUGCCGCAGCUAACGCAUUAAGCAUUCCGCCUGGGGAGUACGACCGCAAGGUUGAAACUCAAAGGAAUUGACGGGGGCCCGCACAAGCGGUGGAGCAUGUGGUUUAAUUCGAAGCAACGCGAAGAACCUUACCAGGUCUUGACAUCUUUUGAUCACCUGAGAGAUCAGGUUUCCCCUUCGGGGGCAAAAUGACAGGUGGUGCAUGGUUGUCGUCAGCUCGUGUCGUGAGAUGUUGGGUUAAGUCCCGCAACGAGCGCAACCCUUAUGACUAGUUGCCAGCAUUUAGUUGGGCACUCUAGUAAGACUGCCGGUGACAAACCGGAGGAAGGUGGGGAUGACGUCAAAUCAUCAUGCCCCUUAUGACCUGGGCUACACACGUGCUACAAUGGAUGGUACAACGAGUUGCGAGACCGCGAGGUCAAGCUAAUCUCUUAAAGCCAUUCUCAGUUCGGACUGUAGGCUGCAACUCGCCUACACGAAGUCGGAAUCGCUAGUAAUCGCGGAUCAGCACGCCGCGGUGAAUACGUUCCCGGGCCUUGUACACACCGCCCGUCACACCAUGAGAGUUUGUAACACCCGAAGCCGGUGGCGUAACCCUUUUAGGGAGCGAGCCGUCUAAGGUGACAAAAUU
This 1475-nucleotide ribosomal RNA is filed under the name Lacticaseibacillus rhamnosus. RNAcentral describes it as "bacterial SSU rRNA". It matches the Rfam family "Bacterial small subunit ribosomal RNA". Lineage: Bacteria; Bacillati; Bacillota; Bacilli; Lactobacillales; Lactobacillaceae. The record is from RNAcentral.